GUUAGGACAAGGCAUGGUAAAACAACACUGUGUGGGGUCAGGUAAAAUGUAAUGAAAUUAUUGGUGAAAUUGUUUUAUUUGAUAUGAGAGGCGUAUUUAAAGGCGYUAUAUAGGUUAAAUAGAUUAAAUUGUUUUGUUUAGUUAGUAUGAAUAGUAUAGAAGUCAUGUUGUGUUGAGGUACUGUAAAGGAAUGAGUGUAUGGGAAUGUAAUUUGCGUAUAGUAGAGUUUAAGUCUCGUACCUUUUGCAUAAUGGAUUGAUGAUUUUUAGUGUUAUAUUAUGUAAUCUCGAAGUGAAAGGAUUUACUUAAUGGGGAUAUGUUAACGUUGUAUAGUUAUAUAAUGAUCUUUAAGUGGUAAUGAUAUGUUUAUCGUUUUUCAUGAUAGCUAGUUUAUUAGUGAAGAUAUUUAAGUAUCAUAGUAUUAAUACAAUGAAAGUUGUUUGAUAUUAGUGUAUAGCGUGGGGGAUAAGCUCCACGCAGCGUUAUAGAAGUUGAUGAAUAGUAGUUAAGGGAUUUAAGUAGAAUUAAUAAUGUUUUUCUUUGAAAGUAGUUUAAAUUGUGUAACGAUUCGUUUUUAACUUCAUGGUGUAUAAACAAUAAAUGUUUAAAAAUUUAUAUUUAGGUAAAUAUAAUGUUAAUAUGAGUAUUGGUUAGAAUUUCAUAGUUAGUAUAUCCAAAAGCGUUGUAGUUGUGGAUGGUUUACGUUAAGAAAAAGUUAAGUAAGGUGAAGGAAUUCGGCAAAUAUUAAUCUCGCCUGUUUAUCAAAAACAUGUCUCUUUGUAAAAUAUAAAUAGAGAGUCGGGCCUGCUCGGUGAAUAAGUUUUUAACAGCUGCGGUAUUUUAACUGUACUAAGGUAGCAUAAUAAUUUGCCUUAUAAUUUGAGGCUAGAAUGAAUGGUUUGACGAAGGUUAAUCUGUCUCCAUCUUAUUUUUUAGAAGUUAAUUUUUAAAGUGAAAAAGCUUAAAUUUUUCAAAGGGACGAGAAGACCCUAAUGAGCUUAUAAUUUUAUUAUCAUUAUUUAAAACAUUUAGGUGGUGGUAUAUAAAUUUUAAUUGGGGUGAUUAAGGAAUAAAUUGUGUAUAGUAACUUCCUUAAAUUAGGUAUUUGUAGAUAAAGUAACCAAUGUAAUAUUGCUUAUAGUAUAGUUACCAUAGGGAUAACAGCGUAAUUUGUUUAGAGAGUUCUUAUUGAAAAACGAGAUUGCGACCUCGAUGUUGGAUUAAAGUAACCCUAAGGUGCAGAAGCUUUAGUAGGUAAAUCUGUUCGAUUUUUAAUACUUUACAUGAUCUGAGUUCAGACCGGCGUGAGCCAGGUUGGUUUCUAUCUUUUAAAAAUGAGUGUUGCUUCUUUUAGUACGAGAGGACCAAGGAAAGCUGAAAGUAUUAUUAAAAU
This 1393-nucleotide ribosomal RNA is filed under the name Ommastrephes brevimanus. RNAcentral's name for it is "16S ribosomal RNA". The stretch from base 947 to 1393 matches the Rfam family "Bacterial large subunit ribosomal RNA", at positions 2048 to 2719 of the family's 2925-position model. Lineage: Eukaryota; Metazoa; Mollusca; Cephalopoda; Oegopsida; Ommastrephidae. The record is from RNAcentral.